CAACUUUCCCAUGGGGCCGAGAAUCUAGUCAAACUUGGUCAUUUAGAGGUCGUAAAAGUCGUAACAAGGUUUCCGUAGGUGAACCUGCGGAAGGAUCAUUACUGUGAUUUAGUACUACACUGCGUGAGCGGAACGAAAACAAAAACACCUAAAAUGUGGAAUAUAGCAUAUAGUCGACAAGAGAAAUCUACGAAAAACAAACAAAACUUUCAACAACGGAUCUCUUGGUUCUCGCAUCGAUGAAGAGCGCAGCGAAAUGCGAUACCUAGUGUGAAUUGCAGCCAUCGUGAAUCAUCGAGUUCUUGAACGCACAUUGCGCCCCUCGGCAUUCCGGGGGGCAUGCCUGUUUGAGCGUCGUUUCCAUCUUGCGCGUGCGCAGAGUUGGGGGAGCGGAGCGGACGACGUGUAAAGAGCGUCGGAGCUGCGACUCGCCUGAAAGGGAGCGAAGCUGGCCGAGCGAACUAGACUUUUUUUCAGGGACGCUUGGCGGCCGAGAGCGAGUGUUGCGAGACAACAAAAAGCUCGACCUCAAAUCAGGUAGGAAUACCCGCUGAACUUAAGCAUAUCAAUAAGCGGAGGAAAAGAAACCAACAGGGAUUGCCUCAGUAGCGGCGAGUGAAGCGGCAAGAGCUCAGAUUUGAAAUCGUGCUUUGCGGCACGAGUUGUAGAUUGCAGGUUGGAGUCUGUGUGGAAGGCGGUGUCCAAGUCCCUUGGAACAGGGCGCCCAGGAGGGUGAGAGCCCCGUGGGAUGCCGGCGGAAGCAGUGAGGCCCUUCUGACGAGUCGAGUUGUUUGGGAAUGCAGCUCCAAGCGGGUGGUAAAUUCCAUCUAAGGCUAAAUACUGGCGAGAGACCGAUAGCGAACAAGUACUGUGAAGGAAAGAUGAAAAGCACUUUGAAAAGAGAGUGAAACAGCACGUGAAAUUGUUGAAAGGGAAGGGUAUUGCGCCCGACAUGGGGAUUGCGCACCGCUGCCUCUCGUGGGCGGCGCUCUGGGCUUUCCCUGGGCCAGCAUCGGUUCUUGCUGCAGGAGAAGGGGUUCUGGAACGUGGCUCUUCGGAGUGUUAUAGCCAGGGCCAGAUG
RNAcentral lists this ribosomal RNA (1081 nucleotides) under Pichia kudriavzevii. Its description in RNAcentral is "eukaryotic LSU rRNA". The stretch from base 524 to 1081 matches the Rfam family "Eukaryotic large subunit ribosomal RNA", at positions 1 to 570 of the family's 3401-position model. The record is from RNAcentral. Lineage: Eukaryota; Fungi; Ascomycota; Pichiomycetes; Pichiales; Pichiaceae.